CCCAGACCUCAUUUAAGGACAGGCAGUGGGGGUAAGGGUAUCUCACUGGAGAUCCCUGCCUAGUGGUGGUCUUCUGAAGGGGAGAACCACCCUGUGAAAGAAGACUGCAGCAGUGAAAGUUUGGGGUAUUUUCUGCGUCUCUGGAGCUGACUUCUGUGGGCAGACGAAGGACAAGCAGACAGCGCAAGUGUCUAUAGCUCAGGGUUUUGAAAUGGCAAGGCAUACUGUUCAAGGAUCUCUCUACCAAUUUUAACUAACAAACAUGGCGUGAUCAGGCCAAUAUUAUGGACAGCAACAAAGAAGAGUACACUUUGUCUCACCAGUCUCAUGGAUAUAACUUUCUGCUUACAGCUGUAUUUGGCUAAGACCUGUAGGUGGUUAUAGACUUUGACUCAGUGGCUGGGCUUGGAUGGGAGCCUUCUGGCUUACACUCCUAUGCUCCAACCAUCUAAUCCUUUAGCCCAAAGGAAACUGCGGUGUCCCUGCAGACCCUUGAAUAGAUGCCCCAGGGGAACAGAAGAUUGAGCAUGCUGCCUUCAGCCAUUGGCACUAAUUUGCCAACUUAGUAGAGAUGACAAAAGAUGAAGUGGGGAGUCCACGCCCAUCUCAGGUAAAAGAAUUGCCUGUUUCAAGAUAACUGGGAAACACUGAUAGGACAAAAUAGAUGGGAGAAGAACAAGACUCCUUUCUUGUCUUGUGGAUUUCAGUCAAAGAACCAGAUCAAUGUUUUCUCACCAUAGGUAGGUUUGAUGUUCUGCCUUCUCUUUGAGCAUAAAGCAGAAAACAAAUGCUUCCCUUUCACCUGUAAAUGCUAGGAGGACUUUGUAUGGACAUGCUUAUUUUAGAAGGAAGAAAGUUCAGAGUCACUGUAGACUAAGUUAGAAAAAGAGGAGAUAAAUUGAAUUGGCUUCCCAAACCACCCAGAUUGUACUCCACAAAGGAGUCUGUGAAUUCUUACUAAGGUCAAUUGAUUUUAAA
Long non-coding RNA from Lagopus muta (rock ptarmigan), 978 nucleotides. RefSeq lists it as uncharacterized. NCBI's taxonomy places the organism in Eukaryota, Metazoa, Chordata, Aves, Galliformes, Phasianidae. The record is from RefSeq and is a predicted model, not a curated record. The transcript is spliced from 3 exons.